Molecule: ribosomal RNA, 425 nt
Filed under: uncultured bacterium
Lineage: Bacteria
Description: bacterial SSU rRNA
Rfam family: Bacterial small subunit ribosomal RNA
Source: RNAcentral
GUGGGGAAUAUUGGACAAUGGGCGCAAGCCUGAUCCAGCCAUGCCGCGUGAGUGAUGAAGGCCUUAGGGUUGUAAAGCUCUUUUGUCCGGGACGAUAAUGACGGUACCGGAAGAAUAAGCCCCGGCUAACUUCGUGCCAGCAGCCGCGGUAAUACGAAGGGGGCUAGCGUUGCUCGGAAUCACUGGGCGUAAAGGGCGCGUAGGCGGCCAUUCAAGUCGGGGGUGAAAGCCUGUGGCUCAACCACAGAAUUGCCUUCGAUACUGUUUGGCUUGAGUUUGGUAGAGGUUGGUGGAACUGCGAGUGUAGAGGUGAAAUUCGUAGAUAUUCGCAAGAACACCAGUGGCGAAGGCGGCCAACUGGACCAACACUGACGCUGAGGCGCGAAAGCGUGGGGAGCAAACAGGAUUAGAAACCCCUGUAGUCC